CAAGUCGAGCGGCAGCGCGGGGGCAACCCUGGCGGCGAGCGGCGAACGGGUGAGUAAUGCAUCGGAACGUGUCCCGUAAUGGGGGAUAACGCCGCGAAAGCGGCGCUAAUACCGCAUACGCUCUACGGAGGAAAGUGGGGGAUCCGCAAGGACCUCACGUUAGGGGAGCGGCCGAUGUCCGAUUAGCUAGUUGGUGGGGUAACGGCCCACCAAGGCGACGAUCGGUAGCUGGUCUGAGAGGAUGAUCAGCCACACUGGGACUGAGACACGGCCCAGACUCCUACGGGAGGCAGCAGUGGGGAAUUUUGGACAAUGGGGGCAACCCUGAUCCAGCCAUGCCGCGUGCGGGAAGAAGGCCUUCGGGUUGUAAACCGCUUUUAGCCGGGAAGAAAAGGCGCGAGUUAAUACCUUGCGUUUUUGACGGUACCGGCGGAAUAAGCACCGGCUAACUACGUGCCAGCAGCCGCGGUAAUACGUAGGGUGCGAGCGUUAAUCGGAAUUACUGGGCGUAAAGCGUGCGCAGGCGGUUCGUUGUGUCGGUGGUGAAAGCCCCGGGCUUAACCUGGGAAUGGCCAUGGAAACUGGCGAACUGGAGUGUGGCAGAGGGGGGUGGAAUUCCGCGUGUAGCAGUAAAAUGCGUAGAGAUGCGGAGGAACACCGAUGGCGAAGGCAGCCCCCUGGGCUAGCACUGACGCUCAGGCACNAAAGCGUGGGGAGCAACAGGAUUCGCUACCCUGGUAGUC
RNAcentral lists this ribosomal RNA (743 nucleotides) under uncultured beta proteobacterium. Its description in RNAcentral is "bacterial SSU rRNA". It matches the Rfam family "Bacterial small subunit ribosomal RNA", at positions 58 to 795 of the family's 1533-position model. The record is from RNAcentral. Lineage: Bacteria; Pseudomonadati; Pseudomonadota; Betaproteobacteria.